CAGGAUGAACGCUAGCUACAGGCUUAACACAUGCAAGUCGAGGGGAAACGACAUCGAAAGCUUGCUUUUGAUGGGCGUCGACCGGCGCACGGGUGAGUAACGCGUAUCCAACCUGCCCACCACUUGGGGAUAACCUUGCGAAAGUAAGACUAAUACCCAAUGAUAUCUCUAGAAGACAUCUGAAAGGGAUUAAAGAUUUAUCGGUGAUGGAUGGGGAUGCGUCUGAUUAGCUUGUUGGCGGGGUAACGGCCCACCAAGGCGACGAUCAGUAGGGGUUCUGAGAGGAAGGUCCCCCACAUUGGAACUGAGACACGGUCCAAGCUCCUACGGGAGGCAGCAGUGAGGAAUAUUGGUCAAUGGGCGAGAGCCUGAACCAGCCAAGUAGCGUGCAGGAUGACGGCCCUAUGGGUUGUAAACUGCUUUUAUAAGGGAAUAAAGUGAGUCUCGUGAGACUUUUUGCAUGUACCUUAUGAAUAAGGACCGGCUAAUUCCGUGCCAGCAGCCGCGGUAAUACGGAAGGUCCGGGCGUUAUCCGGAUUUAUUGGGUUUAAAGGGAGCGUAGGCCGGAGAUUAAGCGUGUUGUGAAAUGUAGACGCUCAACGUCUGCACUGCAGCGCGGACUGGUUUCCUUGAGUACGCACAAAGUGGGCGGAAUUCGUGGUGUAGCGGUGAAGUGCUUAGAUAUCACGAAGAACUCCGAUUGCGAAGGCAGCUCACUGGAGCGCAACUGACGCUGAAGCUCGAAAGUGCGGGUAUCGAACAGGAUUAGAUACCCUGGUAGUCCGCACGGUAAACGAUGGAUGCCCGCUGUUGGUCUGAAUAGGUCAGCGGCCAAGCGAAAGCAUUAAGCAUCCCACCUGGGGAGUACGCCGGCAACGGUGCAACUCAAAUGAA
This 894-nucleotide ribosomal RNA is filed under the name uncultured Bacillota bacterium. RNAcentral describes it as "bacterial SSU rRNA". It matches the Rfam family "Bacterial small subunit ribosomal RNA", at positions 25 to 909 of the family's 1533-position model. The record is from RNAcentral. Lineage: Bacteria; Bacillati; Bacillota.